UAUGCUGUAGCUCGAGUUUUGUCUUGUUAUCAAUUAAUUGAUUUAUUUCUUACUUUUAGAUUAUUUCUUUAAUAUUAAAGAUUGGUAAAUUUUGGCGCUCUAUUGUUUGACACUGGGUGCUUGUUAUGUUUUAAAUCACUUGUCAGUCAAACUGCUUCUAAAACUUUUCGGAUGUCUGCUGUUGUGCAAACAUUUCUUAUAUAUGGUGAUUACUGAUAUGAAUUACCAAACUAACUAGAAGAUUCAUGUAUACCAUUUUAUUUAUUUUUUAUUUUUUUGCAGUUUGGCCUUGACCAUACACUCACAACUGGUGUUAUUAGGUAGGAAGAUCUGUAGUUUAAUAUUCACCUCUCAGUUUGCUAAUAAGAAGGAAUAUUCUGAUUUACUCCGUUGUUUAUGGCCAGGCAAGUAGGAGUUUUUUUUUUUUUUUUGAAAGAUAAUUUCAUGAAGAAUUGGCUGAAGCCUAAAGAACUACAACUCAGACCAUGAAAUGGGAAACAAAAAACUUCCACCUAAUACAUCUGAUGCUGUGGCCCAUUGCAUUACAUUUAGUUUUGCCCUAUUGAACACCUCUGAUACCCUCCCACACUUAUUCCUGAAGCAACCACUAUUCCUUCCCCCCCAAAUAAACCAUAGACCGGCCAAUAGGAAACAAUGGUGAUCGAAUAUUAAAAAGUUCGCGUGGGCCACAAAAGUUUUGGACGAAUCUAUAUCUUAGAGUUAAUCAUAUUUAUGUGAACACUAAGGACAUUAAGGAGACAAUCUACACAUACAUCAUGCCCGAGAACAUUUUGAAGAAGUUUAUUUGCAUAGCAGAUCUUCGGACUCAAAUUGCAGGAUAUUUGUUUGGCAUAAGCCCCCCAGAUAACCCUCAAGUGAAGGAAAUCCACUAUAUUAGUUAUCAAUUAACAUUAAUAUUUUGUAGCCAACUCAUCAAAUUGAAGAUGUGUAUUGUAAUAAAUAUUAUAUAUUUUUUUAUGUUGUCAAGUAAUAUAAAUUUUGUUUAA
Long non-coding RNA from Magnolia sinica, 1007 nucleotides. RefSeq lists it as uncharacterized. The transcript has 2 exons. NCBI's taxonomy places the organism in Eukaryota, Viridiplantae, Streptophyta, Magnoliopsida, Magnoliales, Magnoliaceae. The record is from RefSeq and is a predicted model, not a curated record.